GGUUGAUGGAAAGGUGUUUCUUUGCAAUUUUAUAAGGGAAGUCCGAGUACAUUUUUACAAUUUAUAUAUUUAUUCUCUGCGCGAUUGAAUACUGCUAACACCCAACGUCAGAUUUACCUGAACCCAACAACUUUUUUGAUAACGAAGCUGCUGUCUAGAAUUUUGCCAGAUCACCCUUAUAAGAAUCACUAUUAAAGGUUGUUUUCUCCAAUAUUGCCGCCAACAGGACUCUUCAUCAACUAUAAAGAAGCCCUAGACUUCCUUCAAAAAUAAGAUAUGGUAUGAUUGCCAAUGAGACAAGUCUCCCAAAGAGAUCAAAUGACCAAAACAUUUACCACUAUAGGUCACCAUACGACAUUCAACAAUGAGCAAAGACCAUUCCGCAUAGCUAUAAAAGGCCCAACGUGACAAAUAUAAAACAUCUCAAACGAGAAAACUAACGGCAUAUUUUAUGUACAAAAUAAUGAACAAAAACAAAUAUGUCACUCAGCAACUAAGACAAC
This 503-nucleotide long non-coding RNA is filed under the name Mytilus galloprovincialis (Mediterranean mussel). The record is from RNAcentral. Lineage: Eukaryota; Metazoa; Mollusca; Bivalvia; Mytilida; Mytilidae.